GACGAGGGAUCCUAGCGUUGCUCGGAACCAUUGGGCGUAAAGCGGGUGUAGGUGGUUAACUAAGUCAGGAGUGAAAGCCCUAGGCUCAACCUGGGAAGUGCUUUUGAAACUGGUUAACUUGAGUGUGGAAGAGGAUAGUAGAAUUCCUGGUGUAGUGGUGAAAUACGUAGAUAUCAGGAGGAAUUCCAGUGGGGAAGCCGGCUAUCUGGUCCAACACUGGCACUCAGACCCGAAAGCGUGGGGAGCAAACAGG
This 253-nucleotide ribosomal RNA is filed under the name uncultured bacterium. RNAcentral's name for it is "partial 16S ribosomal RNA". It matches the Rfam family "Bacterial small subunit ribosomal RNA", at positions 524 to 776 of the family's 1533-position model. The record is from RNAcentral.